Rhipicephalus microplus (southern cattle tick) is the source of this 430-nucleotide long non-coding RNA. The record is from RefSeq and is a predicted model, not a curated record. NCBI's taxonomy places the organism in Eukaryota, Metazoa, Arthropoda, Arachnida, Ixodida, Ixodidae.
GUUUGCAGCUUGCUUAUUUGGUUAACAAACAUGGCAAUCAAUAAAAACAGUGCUGUUACUAGCAAGCUAUAUCAUGUCUGAAUAUCAAUAUCCACACCUCCAGGUACAAUGGCAAUACAAGAGUGCCUGUGGUACCUUCUGAAAGCCAAGGUACUAUUGAAGCAAAAGGAGACAGCAGCUUAUGAACUAGUAGAGGCUUUUUACAUUGUUAGAUGGCAUGUGUGUUGCAUAUGGCCUUCAUUAUUGCUCCAUGACGUCUAAAAUAAUUACCUUCUCAUUGGUCUUUAGCUAGUUAUGUUGGCACAUGUAGUUUGGUCAAAAGUACAUCCUUUUGCAGUUGUCCUUUAGUUCUUGUCACAUGCAACUUUGUGUGUAUGUAUAUAAUAUGUACACAUUUGUAGUUACAAUAAAAUUUCUGUUAACAAUUGGU